Molecule: ribosomal RNA, 789 nt
Filed under: Bacillus subtilis
Lineage: Bacteria; Bacillati; Bacillota; Bacilli; Caryophanales; Bacillaceae
Description: bacterial SSU rRNA
Rfam family: Bacterial small subunit ribosomal RNA
Source: RNAcentral
GAGGGGGCUAAAGAGUCGAGCGGAAGAUGGGAGCUUGCUCCCUGAUGUUAGCGGCGGACGGGUGAGUAACACGUGGGUAACCUGCCAGGAAGACUGGGAUAACUCCGGGAAACCGGGGCUAAUACCGGAUGGUUGUUUGAACCGCAUGGUUCAGACAUAAAAGGUGGCUUCGGCUACCACUUACAGAUGGACCCGCGGCGCAUUAGCUAGUUGGUGAGGUAACGGCUCACCAAGGCGACGAUGCGUAGCCGACCUGAGAGGGUGAUCGGCCACACUGGGACUGAGACACGGCCCAGACUCCUACGGGAGGCAGCAGUAGGGAAUCUUCCGCAAUGGACGAAAGUCUGACGGAGCAACGCCGCGUGAGUGAUGAAGGUAUUCGGAUCGUAAAGCUCUGUUGUUAGGGAAGAACAAGUGCCGUUCAAAUAGGGCGGCACCUUGACGGUACCUAACCAGAAAGCCACGGCUAACUACGUGCCAGCAGCCGCGGUAAUACGUAGGUGGGAAGCGUUGUCCGGAAUUAUUGGGCGUAAAGGGCUCGCAGGCGGUUUCUUAAGUCUGAUGUGAAAGCCCCCGGCUCAACCGGGGAGGGUCAUUGGAAACUGGGGAACUUGAGUGCAGAAGAGGAGAGUGGAAUUCCACGUGUAGCGGUGAAAUGCGUAGAGAUGUGGAGGAACACCAGUGGCGAAGGCGACUCUCUGGUCUGUAACUGACGCUGAGGAGCGAAAGCGUGGGGAGCGAACAGGAUUAGAUACCCUGGUAGUCCACGCCGUAAACGAUGAGUGCUAA